CCAAGGUGAAAGUUCAAUAGAAUAUUUGGGAGGGAUUGGAUGACAUCAUUCGUAGUGUUCCGCCUUAUGAGAGGCUACAAUUUUCAAGAUUUACACCAUCUACGUCUUGGUGUGAAUCUAUCUCGCUCUUGAUUUAUCACAACAUGGGCUUUCAUGCACCUUAAAGAUAAAAUAAAGUAAUACACAUUGUCUGUCAAUACAACCAACUUUACCAACCACUCUGCACCUUAAUGAAUAGAGUAGUUUAAAUUUUGUCACUUUGUGUAUCAUUCCAAGGGGAAUGCAAUCAUAUUAACGCAAAGACCAUAAAAAAUAAGGCUAAAAUGAUCAUCAUUAUCACACUUUACCCAACUGCUUCUUUCUUAGAAAAGAGGGCGUCGAUGGGUAUCAUGGUAAGUCGAGUCUUGGAGCUAUAGAGCCUCAAAUUGAGAAGCAACUCACUAAAAGCACAUACUUGUCAGAAGCAAUUAAUUAAAACUAUAGUAAAGACAAAAAGAUGUUAGGAUGAAUAUCACCAAGAGAGUAGCAACAAAUGAUUCGCUUCAGAAGUUGAAAGAGGAAAAGAUAUACCUCUCGUUUUGCGUGAAAUCAGUAUCUCUUUUAAUCUGGCAAUAAUACGUACAAACAUGAAAAUUGAAGGUUAAACUAAAAAGAGAUAAUCUCAUAUAAAGCAUGCUUUCUCUUUCAUAAAGAGCAUUUGUUUGAUUGGUAAGUGAUAUCAUAAGUUGAUCAAAUGAGGACGUAAAGAUAUGCAGAACCCCCAACAUAAUAAUAGCAAAAAUUAAGUACU
RNAcentral lists this long non-coding RNA (790 nucleotides) under Nicotiana benthamiana. Its description in RNAcentral is "long non-coding RNA (NBEN_LNC004214)". Lineage: Eukaryota; Viridiplantae; Streptophyta; Magnoliopsida; Solanales; Solanaceae. The record is from RNAcentral.